AGAGCUCAAAUUUGAAAUCUGGCGGUCCCUUGGGCUGUCCGAGUUGUAAUCUAGAGAAGUGCUACCUGUGCUGGACCGUGUACAAGUCUCCUGGAAUGGAGCAUCACAGAGGGUGAGAAUCCCGUCUUUGACACGGACUGCCUGUGCGAUAUGGUGCGCUCUCGAAGAGUCGAGUUGUUUGGGAAUGCAGCUCAAAACGGGUGGUAAAUGCCAUCUAAAGCUAAAUAUUGGCGAGAGACCGAUAGCGAA
RNAcentral lists this ribosomal RNA (249 nucleotides) under Inocybe cincinnata. RNAcentral's name for it is "partial large subunit ribosomal RNA". It matches the Rfam family "Eukaryotic large subunit ribosomal RNA", at positions 104 to 344 of the family's 3401-position model. Lineage: Eukaryota; Fungi; Basidiomycota; Agaricomycetes; Agaricales; Inocybaceae. The record is from RNAcentral.